This 584-nucleotide ribosomal RNA is filed under the name uncultured Leptospirillum sp. RNAcentral describes it as "bacterial SSU rRNA". It matches the Rfam family "Bacterial small subunit ribosomal RNA", at positions 9 to 572 of the family's 1533-position model. Lineage: Bacteria; Pseudomonadati; Nitrospirota; Nitrospiria; Nitrospirales; Nitrospiraceae. The record is from RNAcentral.
GAGUUUGAUCCUGGCUCAGAACGAACGCUGGCGGCGUGCUUAACACAUGCAAGUCCAACGUGAAAGGGGAGCAAUCCCCCGGUAAGGUGGCGAACGGGUGAGUAAGACAUGGGAAUCUGCCCUGGAGAUGGGGAUAUCCCUCCGAAAGGGGGGCUAAUACCGAAUACCGUCCGGGAAACGAGAGGAUUUCGGGGAAAGGGAGGCCUCUGGCAACAUGCUUCCGCUCCGGGAGGAGCCCAUGGCCCAUCAGCUAGUUGGGAGGGUAACGGCCAACCAAGGCGAAGACGGGUAGCUGGUCUGAGAGGACGAUCAGCCACACUGGCACUGAGACACGGGCCAGACUCCUACGGGAGGCAGCAGUGAGGAAUUUUGCACAAUGGGGGCAACCCUGAUGCAGCAACGCCGCGUGUGGGAAGAAGGCUUUCGGGUUGUAAACCACUUUUGCGAGGGACGAAACCCCGGGGUUGAUACACCGUGGGGGUGACGGUACCUCGCGAAUAAGCCACGGCUAACUCUGUGCCAGCAGCCGCGGUAAGACAGGGGUGGCAAGCGUUCUUCGGAGUGACUGGGCGUAAAGGGUCUGU